RNAcentral lists this ribosomal RNA (372 nucleotides) under uncultured organism. RNAcentral's name for it is "bacterial SSU rRNA". It matches the Rfam family "Bacterial small subunit ribosomal RNA", at positions 526 to 896 of the family's 1533-position model. The record is from RNAcentral.
CGUAGGGGGCUAGCGUUGUCCGGAAUCAUUGGGCGUAAAGAGCGCGUAGGCGGCCCGGUAAGUCCGUUGUAAAAGUCGAAGGCUCAACCUUCGAAUGCCGAUGGAUACUGUCGGGCUAGAGUCCGGAAGAGGCGAGUGGAAUUCCUGGUGUAGCGGUGGAAUGCGCAGAUAUCAGGAGGAACACCGAUAGCGAAGGCAGCUCGCUGGGACGGUACUGACGCUAAGGCGCGAAAGCGUGGGGAGCGAACAGGAUUAGAUACCCUGGUAGUCCACGCCGUAAACGAUGGGCACUAGGUGUGGGAGGUGUCGACUCCUCCCGUGCCGACGCUAACGCAAUAAGUGCCCCGCCUGGGGAGUACGGCCGCAAGGCUA